Molecule: transfer RNA, 91 nt
Filed under: Commensalibacter melissae
Lineage: Bacteria; Pseudomonadati; Pseudomonadota; Alphaproteobacteria; Acetobacterales; Acetobacteraceae
Also listed under: 6 other names
Description: Commensalibacter sp. ESL0284 tRNA-Ser
Rfam family: tRNA
About the family: Transfer RNA (tRNA) molecules are approximately 80 nucleotides in length. Their secondary structure includes four short double-helical elements and three loops (D, anti-codon, and T loops).
Source: RNAcentral
GGAGAGAUGCCAGAGCGGUCGAAUGGGGCGGUCUCGAAAACCGUUGUGCAAUUCUAUUGUACCGUGGGUUCGAAUCCCACUUUCUCCGCCA